This 485-nucleotide ribosomal RNA is filed under the name uncultured bacterium. RNAcentral describes it as "bacterial SSU rRNA". It matches the Rfam family "Bacterial small subunit ribosomal RNA", at positions 29 to 507 of the family's 1533-position model. The record is from RNAcentral.
AACGAACGCUGGCGGCGCGUUUUAAGCAUGCAAGUCGAGCGGCAAGGGUAGCAAUACCCCUAGAGCGGCGGACGGGUGAGUAACACGUGGACAACCUGCCCUUAGGCGAGGGAUAGCCCAGGGAAACCUGGAUUAAUACCUUAUAAGACCACUGAUAGGAGUAUGAGUGGGGAAAGGUGCUACGGCGCCGCCUGAGGAUGGAUCUGCGUCCCAUUAGCUAGAUGGUAGGGUAAAGGCCUACCAUGGCGACGAUGGGUAGCCGGCCUGAGAGGGUGAACGGCCACACUGGAACUGAGAGACGGUCCAGACUCCUACGGGAGGCAGCAGCUAAGAAUCUUCCGCAAUGGGCGCAAGCCUGACGGAGCGACGCCGCGUGAACGAUGAAGGCCGCAAGGUUGUAAAGUUCUUUUCGGAAGGAGAAUAAGGGGAGCAGGCAAUGGCUUUCCGAUGCCGUGAAUCCCGGAAUAAGCCCGGCUAACUACGUG